This 12265-nucleotide long non-coding RNA is filed under the name Homo sapiens (human). RNAcentral's name for it is "non-protein coding lnc-SRSF2-2:6". The record is from RNAcentral. Lineage: Eukaryota; Metazoa; Chordata; Mammalia; Primates; Hominidae.
CUCUUGAAUACCUCAUCAACACCGCAGGUGACCCGGAGCCCGCUGCUCCGCUCGGCCCCGCCCCGGGCAGCUAUUUGGCACAUUUCAAUUAGCGUAACGGGUGCCUGGUAAACAGCCGAGGCCGGCUGCGGGCACCUGCAAUCCCCGACCCCCGACGCCCUCCCCGAGACCCUGGAGACGCGGCUCCGCCCCCACCGGUAAUUAGGAGAUUUUCAAGGCCUAUGUCCCCAAAGCCCAGCCCAGCUGGAGAGAUCAGCCCUGCGGUCCUGCCGCGCACUCCACCGCCAGCCUCUCGGGAGUCAAGGGAUCCGCCUUCAGGGUGAAUUGGGGUUCCACCAUGUCACCCUCAUGGAGCUUUCGUUAGCCUUGUUUGGGAUACAAAGGGGUAAGUGUCCCCUCAUUUUAGAGAAAGAUCAAGAGCCAGUGAACAGGAUUUCCCAGCCAGGGACAUGGAGCAGGGCACCUGCAGAUGGUCCACGUGCUCUUGGCUGAUGGCAGCCCACCUCCGGGAGGGGCCUGUGCACCUUUCUCCCAGGAGGAGGGAAGGACCCAAUCAUUAUCCAGAGUCAACGGCUGGAGUGCAAUGGCAUGAUUUCAGCACACCGCAACCUCCGCCUCCCGGGUCAAGUGAUUCUCCUGCCUCAGCCUCUCAAGUAGCUGGGAUUACAGGCAUGUGCCACCAAACCGGCUAAUUCUGUAUUUUCAGUAGAGACAGGGUUUCUCCAUGUUGGUCAGGCUGGUCUCGACCUCCUGACCUCAGGUGAUCCACCCGCCUCGGCCUCCCAAAGUGCUGGGAUUAUGGGUGUGAGCCACCACGCCUGGCCAAGUUUUUCAGGGCAGUGCUCCCACCUGGCCAAUCAGAAGCCCCCGGGAGCCACAUACCUCACCACCAGCCAUCUAAGCGUCUCUCCAUUGUGGGGCCCUCCCCAUAGACACUGAGCUCUUUGAGAAUGAGGAUGGCUAUGUUUACCACUGUAUCUCAAGGUUCAAGUCCAGGGCCACCCACAGGACUGGAGUUCAGCAACUCUUAGAACAGGUCUGAUCCUCACUCUCCCCUCCCUGCUCUGCUCCACCCAUGCUAGCCUCUUUCCUCCAUCUUGCACCUGCCUCAGGGCCUUUGCACAGGCUGUUCCUGCUGCCUGGAAGCUCAUCCUUUUGGCUCACUCCCUCACUUCCUGCCCAAAUGUCAUCUCCAUGAGAUCGCCCUGGAAACCCAGGACUACCUUCCCACCUUCCACACUCCCUUGCCCUCUUGCUAUAAUUUUCUCUAUGGCAUGUAUUAAAUAUUUGUUUAUUGUCUGUCUUCUGCCAACUGCAUUAUAAGCUCCCCGAGAGCAGGCACCUUCUUUUGUACACAGCUGUAUCUCCAGAGUGGUGCUUGCGGGCAGCAGGUUCUCAAUAAACUCGAUGAAUGAAUGAAUGAAUGACCAUCCCUGGCCAGGGAAGGAGCACAGGGCAUUGGGCCUAAUAGGGGAAACCUGUUCCCUUUAGACCCAGCUGGCACGCAGGGGCCAAGUGGCCUGAGUUUGGCACCAGGGAUUUCAUCCUCUCCCUCGGUAGCAAAUGGUCACCUGCUUCCAGGCCAUCCUGUUCCCUCUCUGCUGGUGGCCAUGGCUGCAGCAGCCCUCUCAGACUGAAGGCCCACUCUGAUCUUUGGGACCACACUCCUCCAGGUCCUCCCCAUGCUUUCCGGCUGUACCCUCAUCCUCAGGACGAACCUCCGCACCUCCUCCCAUCAUCUCAGGCCCCAUCUGCAAAGUUGGGAUCAGAGAGAGGCCCAGACUGCGCUGGACAACUGAGCCAGUUUUCAUUUCAAAUCGAAGUUUAAAAGAUGCCACUUUUAAUUAUGCUUGAGUGCAGUGUACCCUGAGGCCUUUUGUGGUAAAUGGCUCUCAAUAAUCCCAGUUUAUUCAUUAAUUAUUAUUAAUUAUUUUCUUAAGUAGUGGCAAGGGGACGCAGGGCCCCGCUCAGACCACAAGUCGCACAUCGACUGUCAAAUCCUCGAUGAGCAGGCUCUGAAGAGUUGCCUGUGCCGGCUGCAAUCUGGCUCGCCUGGGCCCGGGCUGGGGUGCCAGGAGCACUCUGGACUGAGGCGGGGCUUCCAGAGCGUGGGGCAGGGCUGGGGGAAAGGAGGGCCUGGAGGAGCCACAGGCCACACCGGACAAAAACACCUUCCACCAGGGUGGCACUUCACCUUCGGGAAGCUCCUUCACUGGAUAAUGAAGACUUUUGUCUUCAGCAAAGCGAGGAAGAAAAGAAUUACCAUUACCACCAGCCAAGGCACCUGACACAUGUGGUCAGUGGUGAACUGGUAAACUCGUUCUCCAGAAACAAAACAAUCAUCUCAAUCAUCUAACAUUUCUUUCCUCUUUUUUUUUUUUUUUUUUGAUACAGGAUCUUACUCUGUCACCCAGGCUGGAGUGCAGUGGCGCAAUCUUGGCUCACUGCAGCCUCAACCUUCCAGGCUCAAGUGAUCUUCCCACCUCAGCCUCUUAAGUACCUGGGACUACAGGCGCACACCACCAUACCUGCCUAAUUUUUGUAUUUUUUGUAGAGAUGGGGUUUCGCCAUGUUGCCCAAGCUGGUCUCAAACUCCUGAGCUCAAGUGAUCCUCCCACCUCGGUCUUGAGGCUUGAGCCACUGCACCUGGCCUACCAUUUCAUUAUUUAUGAUUCUAUAAUAUUCCACUGUAGGGGCAUACAGGUCCCUUAACUUCUCAGUUCCUUACUACUGGGCCAUUUCCCACUUUUCAUUAUUCUAAACAAAUUUGAUGAACAGGCUUUUGCAUAGGUAUCUACCCAUACCCUCAUUCACUUACCUAGGUGACAUUUCUAAAGGUGAAAUUAACUGAUCAAAGGACGUGUGUUUUUAAGGCUUUGAUGCACAUUACUUAACUUUAACUAAACUCAGGAAAAACGGUGAUAAAUUAUACCCCAAGGCCAGCACUUGGGAAGCUGAGAUGGGUGGAUCACUUGAGGUCAGGAGUUGGAGACCAGCCUGGCCAACAUGGUAAAACCCCAUCUCCACUAAAAAUACAAAAAUUAAUGGGUGUGUUGGCAUGUGUCUGUAAUCCCAGCUACUAGGGAGGCUGAGGCAAGGGAAUCGCUUGAACCCAGAAGGCGGAGGCUGCAGUGAGCCAAGAUCACAGCACUGCAUUCCAUCCUGGGCAAUAGAGUGAGACUCGGUCUCAAAAAAAAAAAAAAAAAAAUACACACACACACACACACACACCCCAAGGAUAGAUAUUUAUAGGGGAUCACACUGAUCUUUAUAUACGAGGUCUAGAACAAGGCAAAAUGCAAAUAAGAAAAAGUCCUGAAUUCUAGUACUUGCCAGUUUCCAUGGUGUAAUACUCCCAUCCUGGCCAGUAUGGAGAUACUAACAAUUUAACAACUGGCUUGCAAAAUUCCUGAAAAUCUAACAACCGUCUCUGGGAGCUCAUGGGAGCUGACCCUGGCACCUUAGUGUGUGUGAUGAGAUUUCCUCCUUCUCUGAAAGGAGGUCAUGGUAAUUUCAUCUGUCAACUUGACUGGGCCAUGGGGUGCUAAGGUGCUGGUCAAACAUUCUGGGUGUUUCUCUGAGAGUGUUUCUGGAUGAGAUUAACAUUUGAAGGCUUGGUGCAGUGGCUCAUGCCUGUAAUCCCAGCACUUUGGGAGGCCAAGGCGGCCAGAUCGCUUGAGCUGAGGAGUUCGAGACCAGCCUGGGCAACACGACAAACCCCAUCUCUACUAAAAAUACAACAAUUAGCUGGGCGUGGAGGCGCAUACCUGUAGUCCCAGCUACCUGGGAGGCUGAGGUGGGAGGAUCACUUGAGCCUAGGAAGUUGAGGCUGCAGUAAGCCGUGCUCACACCAGUGCACUCCAGCCUGGGCAACAGAGUGAGACCCUGUCUCAAAAAAAAAAAAAAAGAAGCGAAAGAGGGAGGCAGGAGAGUCAGCAUCAGAGGAAUGAGAUACAGGAAGGAGUCGACUGGUCAUUGCUGGCUCUAAAGAUGCAGGAAGGGGUCGAGAACCAGGGAGUGCAGGCAGCCUCUAGAAAACAGAAGAGGAAGAAAAUGGAUUCUCCCACAGAGCCUCCAGGAGGCAAGCAGGCAGCCCUGCCGACACAUUGAUUUUAGCCCAGUGAGGGCCGUUCCGGACUUCUGAUGUUCAGGACUAAGAUAUAUUGUGUUAUUUUAUGCCACUAAAUUUGUGGCCAUUUGUUUCCAAGACGGUGGUAUUGUCCCCAUUUAACCAGGUGAUGGAACAAAAUUUCAGAGACAUAAACUCUGUGGGUCACAGCUAGUGAUGGGGGCCCAAAACAGGGUUUGACCCCAGGGCUGUCUGACUCCAUGGCCCACGUUCUUUGUUGUAUCCCAGAAGAGAAGCCACUGUUUACACGAAAGCACCUCUGGGAAGGUUAACAACUUCGUCCUGUGUCAGGCACGGGAACUGCGUAGCCUUUCUUCAUGAAACACCAGAAAAUAAAAGAAACCGGCCGGACACGGUGGCUCUGUCACCCUAGGACUUUGGGAGGCCAAGGCGGGCAGAUCAGUUGAGGUCAGGAGUGUGAGAUCAGCAUGGACAACAUGGCAAAACCCUGUCUCUACUAAAAAUACAAAAAAAAAAAAAUAGCCAGGAGUGGUGGUGGGUGCCUGUAACCCCAGCUACGCGACAGGCUGAGGCAGGAGAAUUGCUUGAACCCAGGAGGUGGAGGUUGCAGUGAUCCAGGAUCGCGCCACUGCCCUCCAGCCUGGGUGACAGAGCACAAGACUCAGUCAAGAGAAGAGAAGAAAAGCGGAGGGGAGGAGAGGGGGAGAAGAAGAGAAAGGAAAGGGAAGAAGAGAAAGGAAGGAAAGGAAAGGAAAGGAACAACCACAAGCAUCCACAUCCAGCUUAAGGCAGAGAUGAGUUUGCAGGAAGGAGGGGAAGCCCAAGGGCCGGAGUGAACCAGGAGCUGAAAACCAGACGGUGGCUGCGUGAGUGUGGCCAGCGCAGGCCGAGGCUUCCUGGUCCUGGGGUCCAGGGCUUGGACUCUGACUCCUCCACGGAGAUGAGAGGUGUGGCCUGGGGGAUGGACAUGCAGAAUCGAGACCCCUGCAUAAAGCCAGGCCCCUUCAGUUCUGCGGUCUCCGUGGAAGGACAGAGCAAAAACACCCAUCCCCAGCACAGGGAGAUUGGGAGAGGGUCUGUCACUAUGGGAGAAGGAAGAUCAGAGAUAUUGGCAGAGCGGUCUCCAGAACUGAUUAAAAUCAGGCACCAGCAGAUUCAGGAAGCCCACUUGAGUCCUCAGCAGGCCCCAGCCCUGGACACAGGGGCUCAGGACACAGCCACUACUAGACAGGAGACUGUACCCUCCGGGCCUAGUGCCUUACCAAGCACUGCUCCUGGGAGAAUGUUUGCUGAACGGAUGGUGAUGGGGAGAGGGAAAAGAGAGGGGAAAGUGAGGGUGUCUAAGUCCAGCUUGAGACAAGGCCGGGGGAUUCAUAGUCUCCACCCACCCUCUGCCUUCAGAGGUCCAAGGAUGGGGUGGGCACCAGCAUGGGGCUGGGGGAGCCAUGGGGGCCAGGGGUAUCUGCUGUGGGCUCAAGGAGCCCUCCCAGGGCUCAGACCCCAGCCUGAAACUCUCCCAGCACUCCAAAAGCCAAAUCCCACCCAGCUCUGGGCUGCUUCAUGGGGCCCCAGACUGGAGAAGACACCCCACGAAGGGUCUCUAAGGAAGAGGCGCUGGUGGUCAGGCCUGGGCAGCUGUGGGAGCUGAGAGUUUAAUGGGGAGAACGUGCUCUGUUGGCUUCACGCUCCAACAUCAGGGGGAACCAGCUGCACCGUUUCCCCAGAAUCACGGUCUCUUGAGCCCAAUAUUCAAAUAUAUGCAGACGUCGGAGCCUGGACUAUUUUUAGCUGAGACUCAGAGGGAGAUGAUCUCAGGCUGACUCGGAGAGUGGCCCAGUCCCAGAGGAGCGCAGAAUCAACCUGAAAAGUCAGGCUUGGGGACCACCCCCUUCUCCUGCUGUAAGCGCCUGGAUUCUGCACCCCAGGUGCCCUGAAGGUCUGUGUUGUGGGUGUUUAUUUGGGGCGGAGGGACUGGUCUGCAUCCCUGGGGAGCUGUGUUCUCUUUCCUUCGAUGCCUUUUUUCAGCAAACACUUUGCUUUUCUGCGAAAAGACAAAGCGGGCUGCAUGCUGGAGCCAGCGGCCUGGCUAGGGGGCCGUUUACCUCCCGACUCGGGAUGCGUGGCUCAGCCUCUUAUUAUCUUGAAAGGCAGCAGAAGUCUGACCCCUUCUGUGUGAGCUUCCCAUGGCUGUUAUAGUCACUUACCACCGGCUGUGGCUUAAAACCGCGGGAGCGUAUUUCCUCACAGUUCUAGAGGCCAGAAGUCCAGCAUCAGGGUGCCAGCAGGGCCGUAUUCCCUCUGAAGGCGCCAGAGAAGGGUCCAUCUUUGCCCUCCCAGCUUCCGGCGGUCACCAGCAGGCCUUAGUGUUUGCUGGCGCAGCUGCAUGGCUCUGAUCUCUGCCUCUGUCUUCACAGGGAUUUCUUCCCUGUGUGUCCCCGGGUCCUCUUCUGAUAAGGACACCAGUCAUUGGACUUAAGGCCUCUGCUAAUCCAGUCUGGCCUCAUCUCAAAUUGAAGAACAUCUGCACACACCCUAUUUCCAAGUAAGAUCCUAUUCACAGGCACCAGGGGUGCCUUCAAUGCAUCUUUUGGGGGGAACACAAUUCAACCCACAGCAUCUUCUGUGUUGUUCUGCCCAAGGACAGCCACCCCCCAGCAGCCGCGGUGAGAAGUUCCCCCAGGUUUGGGGUUUCCAAUCUUGGGUGGCGGCAGGCUGGGAGCCAGGGACCGCUUGAGCCUUACUGUGCUCUCCUGCUAGGAGGGGCGGCAGCUCCUUGCCCCUGGAGACAGCGCGGCUCCCCAGAGCAGCUGAGUGUCUUGCAGUCAUCAACAGCCACCUCAUCUCAGAGGCAGCACCUGGAAUCUUACCUGCCUCACCUCCUUUAGUCCUCAAAACACCUGUGUCCCAGGAUUAUGUCCCUUAUUCUACAGAGGAGGAAGCUGAAGUGCAAACUAAGAGGAAGUUCCGAAGCAGCAGGUUGGGGUGCCAGGUGCCAGCCUGGGGAGGGGUGGUCACCUGGCAGGGCGGUGGUGAGGCCGGCCCGUGCCUGCCCUUCCCUCCACUGUUCAGAGUUGGGCCAGGGCUGAAGGAGGCGUGGCCAGCUUCAGAGGAAGGUGUGGGAGCCGCAGCUCUGCCUGGCACUGACAUCUGGGCUGCAAAUUCUUUCUAAUUCUCAACUUCUCCCCCACUACUGCCAGCCAGCCCCUUCAGCUUCAUUUAAAAGUUCAGACAGGAUUCAAAAGUAGGUUGAUAUAUAAAGACCUAUUAAAACUCAAUACUAAGAAAACAACUCAAUUAAAAAAUGGGCAAAAGACCUGAACAGACACUUCGCCAAAGACGAUACACAGAUGGCAAAUAUAUAUGUCACGUCAUAUGUCAUCAGGGAAAUGCAAAUUAAAACAGCAAUGAGAUACCACUGCACAUCUAUCAGAAUGGCCCAAAUCCAAAACACUGACAACCCCAAAUGCUGGUGAGGCUGUGGAGCAACAGGAAUUCUCAUUCAGGGCUGGUAAUACAAAAUGCUAUAGCCACUUGGGAAGACAGCUUGGCAGUUUCUUACAAAGCUAAACAUACUUUUACCAUACGAUCCAGCAAUCGUGUUCCUUGGCAUUUACCCGAAUUAGUUGUUGGAAAUUGUGUCCAGGAGCUUCUGGACAGCUGAACAUGUGGAGGUUCCUGGGAGGUGGCCGUCCAGGGAGGGCACGGAAGUUCCGUGUCCUCCGCCCCCUUCAUACCUCACCCUACGCAUCUCUUCAUCUCUACUCUUUGUAAAAUCCUUUACAAUAAACCGGUAAACCUAAGUAUGGCCAUGUGACUAAGCUCUGGCCAAUGGAGCACAAUCAGAAGCAGCAUGAGCUGACUCCCCCUCUCCUUUUUCUCUUUCAUUGGAUGGAAUGAGGCCUUAGAGGGGACCCAUCUUGGACCGGAUGAGGACAACAGUCCAGAAAUGCUGGAAGACCAAGCUGCAUCUUUGGCAGAUUAUAUUUUCCAAAGAUAGAGGCAACACUAUAUCCCAUUCCACGAGCACUUCUUCUGCUGUGACUUUGACACCCCUCCCAUUGAGGGGUGGCAUCUAUGUCCCCUCCUCAUGAGCUGCAGCAGGAGGAGCUUUGUGACUCUCUUGACCAAUAGAGUAUGCCAGCAUUGACAGCAUGUGGCUUCCAAGGCUAGUUCAAAAAAAUGCCUUUCACUUCCACCUUAUUCUCCUGGGAUGUUCACUCUUGGAACCCAGCCACCAUGCUGCACGGAAGCACAAGAGUCCUUGGAAAGGCCUACAUGGAUGGGAACCAUGGCCCCCAGCCCAAAUCCCCUGCUGAGCUCCCCAGCCGACAGCACCAACUUGCCAGCCACAUGAGUGAGCUGUCCUGGAAGUGAUUCUCCAGCCUUGGGGCAAGCCACCUCAGCUGAUGCCAUGUGAAGCAGAGACAAAUUACCUCCACCAGGCCCUGCCCAAAUUGCAGAUCUGUGAGCAAAACAAAUGACUGUGACUGUUAUAAGCAGAAAAGAAAAUAGAAAAGAAAAUGGAUUCCACUCAAAAACUUGGAAGUGAACAUUUAUAGCAGCUUUAUUCAGAACUGCCAAAACUUGGAGGCAACCAAGAUGUCCUUCAGUAGGUGAAUUUGUAAACAAACUGUGAUCCAUCCAGACAAUGGAAUAUUAUUCAGUGCUAAAUGGAAAUGAGGCACCGGGCCACGAGAAGAUGCAGAGGAAUGUUAGAUGCAUGUUACGAGGUACUAGGGGGAAAGGAGCCAAUCUGAGAAGGCUACAAACUGUAGGGCUCCAACUACCUGAUGAUCUGGAAAAGGUGAGACUACGGAGAUGGUCGGAAGAUCAUGGUUUUCCAGGGUUAGGAGGAGGCAGAGAUGUACAGGGGUAGCACAGAGGAUUUUUAGGGCAAUGGAACCACUCUGUAUGGUGCCAUAAUAGUGGAUACAUCUCAUUAAAGAUUUGUCAAAACACGUAGAAUACACGGCACCAGGAGUGAGCCCUAAUGUGAACUGUGUUUGGUUGAUGAUACGUCAGUGUAGGCUCAUAGAUUGGAACACAUGGACCACUCUGGUAGGGGAUGUGGAUGGUGGGGGUGGCCUGUGUAUGUGGGGGAGGUGGCAUAUGGGAAAUCUACUUUCCACCCAACUUUGCUGUGAACAUAAAACUGCUCAAAAAAAUAGUCUUUUUUUUUUUUUUUGGAGACAGGGCCUCACUCUCACUCAGGCUAGAGGGCGGUGGUGCGGCAUGAUCACAGCUCACUGCAGCCUGGACCUCCCGGGCUCAAGUGAUCAAGCGAUCCUCCCACCUCAGUCUCCCAAGUAGCUGAGACCACCGGCACUUGCCACACUAGCUAAUUUUUAAAUAAUUUUUGUAGGCCGGGCGCCCUGGGUCGUGCCUGUAAUCCUAGCACUGGGAGGCCGAGGUGGGUGGAUCACCUAAGGUCAGGAGUUUGAAACCAGUCUGGUUAACAUGGCGAAACCCUGUCUCUACUAAAAAUACAAAAAUUAGCUGGGCGUGGUAGCAGGUGCCUGUAAUCCCAGUAAUCCCAGCUACUCGGGAGGCUGAGGCAGGAGAAUUGCUUGAACCUGGGAGGCGGGGGUUGCAGUGAGCCAAGAUCACACCACUGUACUCCAGCCUGGAUGACAGACUCCAUCUCAAAAAAAUAAAAAUAAUAACAAUUUUUGUAGAGAUGGGUUCUUGCCAUGUUGCUUGAACUCCUGGGCUUAAGUGAUCCUUCUACCUCAGAUUCUUCCACCUUGGCCUCCAAAAACGCUGAGACAACAGGCGUGAACCACCGCACCUGGCCUUUUUUUUCUUUUUUCCCCUAACUAGGCUCAGUUCCUAAAAGAAGGCCUUGGUCAGGUUUCUGAGCCCUACCCCCCUCCUGCUGGACAAGAUCAUGGAAAAUGCCUGGCUCAGCUAUUCUUUUCUCAGCCUCUUUUAAGCAGCAUAGCAGAGAGGGACAGAGGUAGAGACAGAGAGGGACUGAGAUCUGGGCUCUUCCUCCAGCUGUACGAUAUGGACCAGGCCCCUGUUCUCUUCGGGCCUCCAUCUGUAAAAUGAGGGGACAGGAGGAAUUCUGAUGGCCUGUGGCUUUGAUCUCUGUGAGCAGAUUUGGUUGUAUGAGGUCUCUCCCCUGGCAUUACAUGCUGGAACAGAAGAAAAUGGCCAUAGUCACUGUUAAUUAAAAACUGGUACCAAGUUAUUGGUACUCUCACGUUUGAAAUACCUACUAGUACCUGCUUGGUCUAGACCAGCUGUUCUCAAAGUAUGGGCCCUGGCCCCCUGUAGUAGUAGCAGCAGCACCCAGAGGUUUUUUCUGUUUUUGUUUUUGUUUAGAGAGAUGAGGUCUGUGUUACCCAGGCUGGUCUCUAACUCAAGCAUCGGCCUCCCAAGUGCUGGGAUUACAGGUGUGAGCCACCAUGCCUGGCCUUUUUCUUUCUUUUUCUUUUUUCUUUUUUUUUUUUUUUGAGACAAGGUCUUGCUCUUUGCCCAAGCUACAGUGCAGUGGCACAAUCAUGGUUCACUGCAGCCUCAAACUCCUAGGCUCAAACCAUCCUCCCACCUCAGCCUCCCGAGUAGCUGGGAACACAGGCGCAUGCCACAAACCUUGGCCUUUUUUUUUUUUUUUUUGUAGAAACGAGGUCUCAUUACGUUGCCCAAGCUCGUCUCAGACUCCUGGGCUCAAGCAAGCCUCCCGCCCACCUGGAGCUUAUUAAAGACUCAAAUCCCAGGGCCCAACCCCAGAUCUGCUGAAUCAGAAACUCCGCAGGUGGGGGCCAGCAACAUGUGUUUCAGUAAGCUCAGGAAUCAGGUGAUUCUGAUGCAUGCCAAAAUUUUAGAACCACUGGCCUGGAACAGGGUGUGUGAAGCUUGGCGCUGCUGAUGCUCCAGGCCAGAUCAUCCUACGUGGUAUGGCUGUCCUGUGCACUGGAGGAUGCUGCCAGCAUCCUUGGACUCUACCCCACUGGAGGCCAAUAGCAUGCCACCCCUGUCUCAAGUCACAACAAUCCAAAACAGUGCCAGCUGUCCUCCAGGGAACAAAACUGCCCCAGUGGAGAACCCUUGGUGGGAAGGAAGGCCCUGAUUGUGCAGUGACUCAAAUACAGGAUCACAUAAAACCUGGAGCGAAGGCCUGGCGCAGUGGCUCAUGCCUGUAAUCCCAGCACUUUUGGUGGCCGAGGUGAGUGGAUCACCUGACGUCCGGAGUUUGAGACCAGCCUGGCUAACAUGGUGAAACCCCGUCUCUACUAAAAAUACAAAAAGUAGCCGGGUGUGGUGGCACACGCCUGUAGUCCCAGCUACUCGGGAGCCUGAGGCAGGAGAAUCGCUUGAACCCAGUAGGCAGAGGUUACAGUGAGCCGAGAUUGUGCUACUGCACUCCAGCCUGGGUGACAAAGCGAGACUCCGUCUCAAAAAAAAAAAAAAAAAAAAGCCUGGAGCGAAGACGUGCAUGCAGGGUCACCAUGCCAGGCUGUCACUCUAUCCAGCCAUUUGCUCCUCACCAUGACUUGAAAAUGAUCCCCAUUUUAUAGCAAAUCCCACCUCCCUGCUUACAAGCUGUGUGACCUCGGGCAAGUUACUUGAACUCUCUGUGCCUCUCGCUGUAAAAUGGAAAUAUUAACAUAAUAGUACUUACCUGCUAGGGUAGCUGAGUGCUUGAAAUGACAACUCAAGCAUGGAACAAACUCUCAGCCCAGUGCCCGAGGAGGUAAACACCGGCUCAUUUUCUCAUUAUGUGGCUCAGGCUCUUAGCAAAAUGGAUUUGUGUUCUCUGACCUCGUGCGGCCACUGUCACAGCCAGCUGGAGGUAGGCAGAGGCCAGCCUGAGGUGAACAUGACUGAGUUCACCACUGCUUGUCAGGGUGCCUGCAGUCACGGCUCUGGGGCAGCCAGGAGAUGACCCUGGGUCACUGCCACCAGCAGGGACUUCCUUUGGGCGGCUUGGAGCAGACAGCACCCAGCUCUGCAGACCUGAGCACCCCAUGUGCCCCAAGUGACAUGGAGCAGAACCCGGGGACCCCGGCUGUCUGCCCUCCACCCUGGGCGAGCUCCGGAUGCCGCAGGAAAAGACGAGAAUCCAGCACAGUUCCUCUUCUGCACCUCACAUCCCAAUAAAAUAUUUAUUAUUUCAAGAAAUAAAUCUUUAAAAAAAAGAGAGAAAAAGAGUGUCUCUAUUGCUUUCCC